UAAUCUCGUGCCAGCCACCGCGGUUAUACGAGAGGCUCAAGUUGAUAGUCCUCGGCGUAAAGAGUGGUUAGGAAAAAUAUUAAACUAAAGCCGAAUGCCCACAAGACUGUCAUAAGUGCACGAGGGUAAGAAGUCCAAUCACGAAAGUAGCUUUAUUAAUUCCGACCCCACGAAAGCUGUGAAACAAACUGGGAUUAGAUACCCCAUUAUGCUCAGCCUUAAACUUCGAUAGUAAGUCUUACCCACUAUCCACCCGGGAACUACGAGCGCAAGCUUAAAACCCAAAGGACUUGGCGGUGCUCAAUAUCCGUCUAGAGGAGCCUGUCCUAGAACCGAUACUCCCCGUUAAACCUCACCCCCCCUUGCUUCUCAGCCUAUAUACCGCCGUCGUCAGCUUACUUUGUGAAAAAUAAGCAGUAAGCAAAAUUGGUAAAACCUAAAAAGACAGGUCGAGGUGUAGCUUAUGGGAGGGGAAGAGAUGGGCUACAUUCCCUGAUAUAGGGCAUACGAACAAUGUAUUGAAAUAUACAUUAGAAGGAGGAUUUAGCAGUAAGCAGAAAAUAGAGCGUUCUGCUGAAUAUUGGCUCUAGAGCGCGCACACACCGCCCGU
Molecule: ribosomal RNA, 610 nt
Filed under: Halidesmus scapularis (snakelet)
Lineage: Eukaryota; Metazoa; Chordata; Actinopteri; Pseudochromidae
Description: partial small subunit ribosomal RNA
Rfam family: Bacterial small subunit ribosomal RNA
Source: RNAcentral